Molecule: ribosomal RNA, 482 nt
Filed under: uncultured bacterium
Lineage: Bacteria
Description: bacterial SSU rRNA
Rfam family: Bacterial small subunit ribosomal RNA
Source: RNAcentral
AUUGAACGCUGGCGGCAUGCCUUACACAUGCAAGUCGAACGGUAACAGCACUUCGGUGGCUGACGAGUGGCGAACGGGUGAGUAAUACAUCGGAACGUGCCCGAGAGUGGGGGAUAACGCAGCGAAAGCUGUGCUAAUACCGCAUACGAUCUACGGAUGAAAGCAGGGGACCGCAAGGCCUUGCGCUCAUGGAGCGGCCGAUGGCAGAUUAGGUAGUUGGCGGGAUAAAAGCUUACCAAGCCGACGAUCUGUAGCUGGUCUGAGAGGACGACCAGCCACACUGGGACUGAGACACGGCCCAGACUCCUACGGGAGGCAGCAGUGGGGAAUUUUGGACAAUGGGGGAAACCCUGAUCCAGCCAUGCCGCGUGCAGGAUGAAGGCCUUCGGGUUGUAAACUGCUUUUGUACGGAACGAAAAGGUCCUUUCUAAUAAAGAGGGCUCAUGACGGUACCGUAAGAAUAAGCACCGGCUAACUACGUG